Molecule: ribosomal RNA, 878 nt
Filed under: uncultured fungus
Lineage: Eukaryota; Fungi
Description: eukaryotic LSU rRNA
Rfam family: 5.8S ribosomal RNA (bases 456-606)
Source: RNAcentral
CGCCCCUUCUUGGUCAUUUAGAGGAAGUAAGCAUAUCAAUAAGCGGAGGCAACCUUGGUCAUUUAGAGGAAGUAAGCAUAUCAAUAAGCGGAGGAGGACUUGGUCAUUUAGAGGAAGUAAUGCAUAUCAAUAAGCGGAGGAAGUCUUGUCAUUUAGAGGAAGUAAAAGUCGUAACAAGGUUUCCGUAGGUGAACCUCGGAAGGAUCAUUAUUGAAUACGAAUCGGUUCUGAUGCUGGCCCUUCACGGGCAUGUGCUCGCUCCGAAUCCAUUUAUCUUCUCUUGUGCACCUCUUGAGUCUUUGAAAGAAGUGAACCUCUCGCAGCAAUGCGGUCUGGGGGGACUGGUCAAACCUUCCCCUGCUUGCUUUCUUCUUGGCUAUGUUUUCAUAUACCUAUAAAGUUACAGAAUGUCUUUUUUUAACGAUUGUCGCUCGCGCGCAGCAUUAAACCUAUACAACUUUCAGCAACGGAUCUCUUGGCUCUCCCAUCGUGAAGAACGCAGCGAAAUGCGAUAAGUAAUGUGAAUUGCAGAAUUCAGUAAUCAUCGAAUCUUUGAACGCACCUUGCGCCCUUUGGUAUUCCGAAGGGAUGCCUGUUUGAGUGUCAUUAAAUUCUCAACCUUGCUCGCCUUUACCGGUUGAGUGGGGCUUGGACGUGAGGGCUUUGCUGGCUUCCUUAAGUGGAUGUCUGCUCCCUUUAAAUGCAUUAGUGGGAUCUCUUGUGGACCGUCACUUGUGUGAUAAUUAUCUACGCCUCGUCGACUUUGAAGCAAACUUAUGGGAACUGCUUAUAACCGUCUCGCAAGGGACAACUUUCUGACAUUUUGACCUCAAUCAGUAGGACUACCCGCUGAACUUAAGCAUAUCAAUAAGCGGAGG